This 57-nucleotide microRNA precursor is filed under the name Echinops telfairi (small Madagascar hedgehog). Its description in RNAcentral is "miRNA (ENSETEG00000023849.1)". Lineage: Eukaryota; Metazoa; Chordata; Mammalia; Afrosoricida; Tenrecidae. The record is from RNAcentral.
UCAGGUCCCUGUUUGGGCGCCACUUGCCGGGGUCCGGCUCCGGGAGGGAGGGUUGAA